GCCAGGUAUGGUGGCAUACGCCUGUAAUCCCAGCAGUUUAGGAGGCUGAGGCAGGGGGAUUGUGAGUUCAAAGCCAGCCUCAGCAAAACAAAGUGCUAAGCAACUCAGUGAGAUCCUGUCUCUA
This 124-nucleotide small RNA is filed under the name Marmota monax (woodchuck). Lineage: Eukaryota; Metazoa; Chordata; Mammalia; Rodentia; Sciuridae. The record is from RNAcentral.